AAUAAAUAAAAUCUUAAAAAAAAAAAAAAAGACAAAGACUCAUGGCCAGGACUAGAUGCAGCAUUCCAGUGGGGUCCACAUGAUAGAAGAGAGCAGGAUCAUCAGUUGCCUUCAUAAUUCCAAAUAUCAUACUUCCAUUGAUCCCUUCUAACAUACUUUUUUUUUUUUUAAUAUUCUAACUAAAAGGCAGGGCUGAAUACAGAGCCCUGGAACAGUGAAAACACCCUCUAAGUUGACUUGGAUCCUUUUAAAUACUGUCAUUGUGCCAAGCAGGGUUUUUGACUACAAACCGGUCAAUAACACCAUAGCUCUGCCAUGGCCACCGCUGCCAGUGAAUACUCACCACCACCACUUCAAGACUGUUCAAGCUGCUGCUUCUGUCACUAUGAAUACUUUCCACACUACCCUUGCUUCUUAGCAUCCUUCCCUAAAAAUUAAAAGUCCUUGGUGAGAGUGGCUGGGCUCAAUUCACGCACUUGAGUCCUAGCUGCUAGGAAGUAAAAAGGAGAAUCUUCUUUCUGCUUCCAUGGUGAGAUCCAGUGCACUACAGCCCUCCAAUAUUAUAUUAUUUUCAGAAAAUUAUUCUGGAAUAAGGGAUUGCAUACUGAGUGGACAAAUAUGAUGACAAAGGUCCACUCCACUCAUUUGGUAGGUUACUUUUCCUCUUAAUUGUACUGCCAUCCAACCCAUUUCCCACAUUUUAUCCACAAGAAUAUCAUGGCAGAGAUUGUUAAAGGCCUUGCUGAAGACCCAGUUUGCCAACAGACAGACUAUCAAGUACAUCUCUGUGAUCUGUCAGUUCAGGGACCUGCCAUAAAAGGAAAUUUGAUUGCCCUGGCCCUGACUUAUUCUGAGGAAUCUAUGCUUCCUUUAUAUCUUUAAAAAUCUAUUCUCGGUGUUAGAAUCUAACUCUCCAUGGUUGGAAAAAGCCCAGAUGUACAUUUUAUAAAAUAACUGGUCUGUAAUCUUCAGUAUGUCAAGGUCACUGAAGACUAGAAAAGAUGUUAUUGCUGCUCCCAAGUGAAAGAGAGUAAAAAGGUAUUAUGACUAUAUGCAACAGGUGACUCUUAACUAUAUCCUUCUGUUUUAAAGGACAGGAUUGAGAUAAGUGGCAAACUUAAUUGGGAUUUGAGGACCAGAUGGAAGGAUACCAUCUGUCUCAUCAUAUGGAAAACAAACAGGGCAACAAAACAGGUGUACCAUACAAGGUAGGAGCAAUCUCUAUUCUCACAGAGGUAUAGAGAGAAGGUUAUAAAUAUUGAAGGGGGAAAAACAGAGGUUAAUUUUACUUGGAAGAACAAGGAAAUCUUCAUGGGGUUUAGGGAGAUGCAUUAGACCUGGACCUGGGAUGAAGUCUGCAAAUGCACCCCUAGUGUGCACUUCAUCCUCACCCUUCCCUGCUGUCCACACUCAUUCAGUGUGGUGCCUAUGGCAGAUUUUGCUAACAGAUUCUUUUACUCUUUCCCUAAUCCCAGGUAUAUCCACAGAAUCCUUCUUGACAGAGCACACAGCCAGAUGAUCAGAGCAGGCCCAUGAGCAAAGAAAGGCAUUUGCUCAUCACACCUGGGAGGGUGUAUACAAUUGAGACAUGCAGAGCUCACCGACAGAAGGAACAAGAGUGAGGAAAGGCACAAUGCUGGGGAGAGACUGAAUGUGUAUGACGAAGGAGUCUCAGCCAACUCAGAAGGAUAGAGAGAAAAUUUUGAGGAUGGGAUCGCUGAAACCCUGCCCUGAUGAAAUACUGGGAAAACUGGCAGAAGGGUGUGCUCUGCUCAGCAAGCCCUGACUCCCACAGCAUGGACGGCUUCUCCAGUAUCCAGCUCCUGCAAUGCAAGUGACUUCUCUAACAUCAAGUUCCUGCAGGACAGAUGGUGUCUUCAGCAUCAGCUCCUGCAGUGCAUGGUGGCCAGCAUCAUCCAAAGGCCUCCAGAUUUCCCUGGCACUCUCCUCUACUCCCUUUUGUAGAGCAAUGAUACCAGUGAAUACAUCCCAAGCACAUUCUGCCAGUGCAGCACCAUUGUGAUGUCUCUACUGUCCAAUGAACCACAGUCACACCCCCUCUGACAAGGUCUAGAUCACAGCUCUGGGAGUGGGGGUGGGAAGCCCUGCCCUAGACAAUCUGUCUCCAUUCAAAGAGAAUUUAACUAAGACAAGCUGACUCUGAAGGACAUUGCACCUCCUCUCAUGAUAUAUUAAUUUCAUUAGAACAUUCCAAGAGAUAUCCCCUUUUGAAACAUUAUUUAUAAAAGUGAAAAUGAGACUUAUAAGUCCAAUAAUAGAUACAUUUUGAAAAUUACUAAUGUGCAUGUUUCUUUCAUCUUUUCCCUUUUCUGUG
Molecule: long non-coding RNA, 2335 nt
Organism: Mustela erminea (ermine)
Lineage: Eukaryota; Metazoa; Chordata; Mammalia; Carnivora; Mustelidae
Exons: 4
Source: RefSeq, a predicted model, not a curated record